AUACAUGCAGUCGAACGCUUUUUCUUUCACCGGAGCUUGCUCCACCGAAAGAAAAAGAGUGGCGAACGGGUGAGUAACACGUGGGUAACCUGCCCAUCAGAAGGGGAUAACACUUGGAAACAGGUGCUAAUACCGUAUAACACUAUUUUCCGCAUGGAAGAAAGUUGAAAGGCGCUUUUGCGUCACUGAUGGAUGGACCCGCGGUGCAUUAGCUAGUUGGUGAGGUAACGGCUCACCAAGGCCACGAUGCAUAGCCGACCUGAGAGGGUGAUCGGCCACACUGGGACUGAGACACGGCCCAGACUCCUACGGGAGGCAGCAGUAGGGAAUCUUCGGCAAUGGACGAAAGUCUGACCGAGCAACGCCGCGUGAGUGAAGAAGGUUUUCGGAUCGUAAAACUCUGUUGUUAGAGAAGAACAAGGAUGAGAGUAGAACGUUCAUCCCUUGACGGUAUCUAACCAGAAAGCCACGGCUAACUACGUGCCAGCAGCCGCGGUAAUACGUAGGUGGCAAGCGUUGUCCGGAUUUAUUGGGCGUAAAGCGAGCGCAGGCGGUUUCUUAAGUCUGAUGUGAAAGCCCCCGGCUCAACCGGGGAGGGUCAUUGGAAACUGGGAGACUUGAGUGCAGAAGAGGAGAGUGGAAUUCCAUGUGUAGCGGUGAAAUGCGUAGA
This 670-nucleotide ribosomal RNA is filed under the name Enterococcus gallinarum. RNAcentral's name for it is "bacterial SSU rRNA". It matches the Rfam family "Bacterial small subunit ribosomal RNA", at positions 51 to 694 of the family's 1533-position model. The record is from RNAcentral. Lineage: Bacteria; Bacillati; Bacillota; Bacilli; Lactobacillales; Enterococcaceae.